AGCGAACGCUGGCGGCAGGCCUAACACAUGCAAGUCGAACGAACCUUUCGGGGUUAGUGGCGGACGGGUGAGUAACACGUGGGAACGUGCCUUUAGGUUCGGAAUAACUCAGGGAAACUUGUGCUAAUACCGAAUGUGCCCUUCGGGGGAAAGAUUUAUCGCCUUUAGAGCGGCCCGCGUCUGAUUAGCUAGUUGGUUGAGGUAAUGGCUCACCAAGGCGACGAUCAGUAGCUGGUCUGAGAGGAUGAUCAGCCACAUUGGGACUGAGACACGGCCCAAACUCCUACGGGAGGCAGCAGUGGGGAAUCUUGCGCAAUGGGCGAAAGCCUGACGCAGCAUGCCGCGUGAAUGAUGAAGGUCUUAGGAUUGUAAAAUUCUUUCACCGGGGACGAUAAUGACGGUACCCGGAGAAGAAGCCCCGGCUAACUUCGUG
This 433-nucleotide ribosomal RNA is filed under the name uncultured bacterium. Its description in RNAcentral is "partial 16S ribosomal RNA". It matches the Rfam family "Bacterial small subunit ribosomal RNA", at positions 29 to 507 of the family's 1533-position model. The record is from RNAcentral.